CCCUUAGAUGUUCUGGGCCGCACGCGUGCUACACUGAGUAAAUCAAUGGGUAAGGGAACACGAAAGUGCAACCUAAUCUUGAAAUUUGCUCGUGAUGGGGAUCGACGGUUGCAAUUUUCCGUCGUGAACGAGGAAUACCUUGUAGGCGCGUGUCAUCAUCACGCGCCGAAUACGUCCCUGCCCUUUGUACACACCGCCCGUCGCUCCUACCGAUUGAGUGAUCCGGUGAGGCUCUGGGACCUGGACGGAAAGAGCGUUUCGCUUGUUCUGUUUGGGAAACUUGGUCGAACCUUAUCAUUUAGAGGAGGGAGAAGUCGUAACA
RNAcentral lists this ribosomal RNA (322 nucleotides) under uncultured eukaryote. RNAcentral describes it as "partial 18S ribosomal RNA". It matches the Rfam family "Eukaryotic small subunit ribosomal RNA", at positions 1470 to 1796 of the family's 1831-position model. The record is from RNAcentral.